UUCCAGACUCCUACGGGAGGCAGCAGUGAGGAAUAUUGGUCAAUGGCCGGAAGGCUGAACCAGCCAAGCCGCGUGAAGGACGAAGGUGCCAAGCAUUGUAAACUUCUUUUGUCAAGGGACAAAAUCAGGCUCGAGAGCCUGACCGAGGGUACUUGAAGAAAAAGCAUCGGCUAACUCCGUGCCAGCAGCCGCGGUAAUACGGAGGAUGCGAGCGUUAUCCGGAUUUAUUGGGUUUAAAGGGUGCGUAGGCGGUUUGAUAAGUUAGAGGUGAAAUGUCGGGGCUCAACCCCGAAACUGCCUCUAAUACUGUUGGACUAGAGAAUAGUUGCGGUAGGCGGAAUGUAUGGUGUAGCGGUGAAAUGCUUAGAGAUCAUACAGAACACCGAUUGCGAAGGCAGCUUACCAAACUAUAUCUGACGUUGAGGCACGAAAGCGUGGGUAGCAAACAGGAUUAGAUACCCCGGUACC
Molecule: ribosomal RNA, 468 nt
Filed under: uncultured bacterium
Lineage: Bacteria
Description: bacterial SSU rRNA
Rfam family: Bacterial small subunit ribosomal RNA
Source: RNAcentral